RNAcentral lists this ribosomal RNA (423 nucleotides) under Oomyzus scaposus. RNAcentral describes it as "partial large subunit ribosomal RNA". Lineage: Eukaryota; Metazoa; Arthropoda; Insecta; Hymenoptera; Eulophidae. The record is from RNAcentral.
CCUGAGAAACCCAAAAGAUCGAAUGGGGAGAUUCACCGUCAGCGGCAUUGGCUUCCGUGCGGCUCGCGAUGGUCGGGACUUCGGUCUCGCGCCACGCGGUCGCCGCGGCAUGUCCGGUGUCGUCGGCGUGCACUUCUCCCCUAGUAGGACGUCGCGACCCGUUGGGUGUCGGAUCAAUGGCCGGUCGGUCGUCUGUUGCGUCGUCCUCGCGGCGACGCGGCAGACCGAUCGGUUCAACGUCCGACUGCCCGGCGGUAUAGAACGCUUAAUCACGGUACUGGGCCGCAACUCGAAUGCGUUCAGGCUCGACGGCAGGCUCGUCUCGCUCGGAUUUACGGACCUAGCGCCGUUGCCGGGCGCUUGGCGUGGCCGUUAGUCGUCGAUGUCCUCGGACUGGCUCUUACCGGUCUGCGACGCUACUGC